UGCUAGUCGAACGAUGAAAGCGGGAGCUUGCUCCUGCUGGAUUAGUGGCGAACGGGUGAGUAACACGUGAGUAACCUGCCCUUGACUCUGGGAUAAGCGUUGGAAACGACGUCUAAUACCGGAUACGACCUUCGGAGGCAUCUCCUGGGGGUGGAAAGAAUUUCGGUCAAGGAUGGACUCGCGGCCUAUCAGCUAGUUGGUGAGGUAAUAGCUCACCAAGGCGACGACGGGUAGCCGGCCUGAGAGGGUGACCGGCCACACUGGGACUGAGACACGGCCCAGACUCCUACGGGAGGCAGCAGUGGGGAAUAUUGCACAAUGGGCGAAAGCCUGAUGCAGCAACGCCGCGUGAGGGACGACGGCCUUCGGGUUGUAAACCUCUUUUAGUAGGGAAGAAGCGAAAGUGACGGUACCUGCAGAAAAAGCACCGGCUAACUACGUGCCAGCAGCCGCGGUAAUACGUAGGGUGCAAGCGUUAUCCGGAAUUAUUGGGCGUAAAGAGCUCGUAGGCGGUUUGUCACGUCUGCUGUGAAAACUGGAGGCUCAACCUCCAGCCUGCAGUGGGUACGGGCAGACUAGAGUGCGGUAGGGGAGAUUGGAAUUCCUGGUGUAGCGGUGGAAUGCGCAGAUAUCAGGAGGAACACCGAUGGCGAAGGCAGAUCUCUGGGCCGUAACUGACGCUGAGGAGCGAAAGCAUGGGGAGCGAACAGGAUUAGAUACCCUGGUAGUCCAUGCCGUAAACGUUGGGAACUAGAUGUAGGGGCCAUUCCACGGCUUCUGUGUCGCAGCUAACGCAUUAAGUUCCCCGCCUGGGGAGUACGGCCGCAAGGCUAAAACUCAAAGGAAUUGACGGGGGCCCGCACAAGCGGCGGAGCAUGCGGAUUAAUUCGAUGCAACGCGAAGAACCUUACCAAGGCUUGACAUAUACCGGAAAAGUUCAGAAAUGUUCUCCCCGCAAGGUCGGUAUACAGGUGGUGCAUGGUUGUCGUCAGCUCGUGUCGUGAGAUGUUGGGUUAAGUCCCGCA
Molecule: ribosomal RNA, 1025 nt
Filed under: Frigoribacterium sp. 764G28
Lineage: Bacteria; Bacillati; Actinomycetota; Actinomycetes; Micrococcales; Microbacteriaceae
Description: bacterial SSU rRNA
Rfam family: Bacterial small subunit ribosomal RNA
Source: RNAcentral